GGAGUUUGGACCGUGUCUCAGUUCCAAUGUGGGGGACCUUCCUCUCAGAACCCCUACUGAUCGACGGCUUGGUGGGCCGUUACCCCGCCAACUGGCUAAUCAGACGCGGAUCCAUCUCACACCGAUAAAUCUUUUACCUCGGCACCAUGCGGUGCCGGGGUCUUAUGCGGUAUUACCAGCCGUUUCCAGCUGCUAUCCCCCAGUGUGAGGCAGGUUAUCCACGCGUUACUCACCCGUCCGCCACUAAGUUAAGUUCCAUCCGAAAAUUUCCCUUAACCCCGUUCGACUUGCAUGUGUUAGGCACGCCGCCAGCGUUCAUC
Molecule: ribosomal RNA, 320 nt
Filed under: uncultured Butyrivibrio sp.
Lineage: Bacteria; Bacillati; Bacillota; Clostridia; Lachnospirales; Lachnospiraceae
Description: partial 16S ribosomal RNA
Source: RNAcentral